Molecule: ribosomal RNA, 486 nt
Filed under: Triticum aestivum (bread wheat)
Lineage: Eukaryota; Viridiplantae; Streptophyta; Magnoliopsida; Poales; Poaceae
Description: partial small subunit ribosomal RNA
Source: RNAcentral
AUGUCCGAGAUGGCACCUGAUUCAGAGGUGUUCGCGUCUGAUUGCCUCUAUGUGCCAGUACUGCUCGUUGAGCCAACUCCUGCUACCGCUGCACUCAAGGUAGCAGCAACAAAGGCAAAGAAGGAUGGUAGGUCGAACAACAUGAAGUGGCAGUCGUUCAUGUCCAUGUUUGUGUUGAACAAGAUGUGUGAGCUCAUCUCUAGUGGAGUUAGGACUGACAAGGGCUUCAAGGAGGUGCACUUGAACACCGUUGCGAAGCAAGUUUUCGAGUUCUGUGGGCAGGAGGUGUCUGCCACCCAGGUGUACAACCACCUGAGGAAGUGGAGAGGUCGAUGGAUCCAGGUGUCCAAGCUAAGAGACCUUAGUGGCGCCUCAUGGGAUGAGAACACUUGCUCCAUAGUUCUGGAGGCAGAGCACUACACCAUCCAUGUCCUAGGGUGGCUUCAGCGACGAGGCGCUCAUGGUAGCUCUCAGCCACCUGCUUGA